GACGUAGGGGGCGAGCGUUGUCCGGAUUUAUUGGGCGUAAAGCGUGCGUAGGCGGCUGCGCAAGUCGGUUGUGAAACCCCGGGGCUCAACCCCGGAACUGCAUCCGAUACUGGAUGGCUUGAAUCCGGGAGAGGGAUGCAGAAUUCCAGGUGUAGCGGUGAAAUGCGUAGAUAUGUGGAGGAACACCGAUGGCGAAGGCAGCCCCCUGGGUUAACACUGACGCUCAUGCACGAAAGCGUGGGGAGCAAACAGG
Molecule: ribosomal RNA, 253 nt
Filed under: uncultured bacterium
Lineage: Bacteria
Description: partial 16S ribosomal RNA
Rfam family: Bacterial small subunit ribosomal RNA
Source: RNAcentral